RNAcentral lists this transfer RNA (73 nucleotides) under Planctomycetota bacterium. Its description in RNAcentral is "tRNA-Ile". It matches the Rfam family "tRNA". From Rfam's summary of the family: Transfer RNA (tRNA) molecules are approximately 80 nucleotides in length. Their secondary structure includes four short double-helical elements and three loops (D, anti-codon, and T loops). The record is from RNAcentral. Lineage: Bacteria; Pseudomonadati; Planctomycetota. RNAcentral also lists the same sequence under 1 other name.
GGGCUCGUAGCUCAAUUGGUAGAGCAGCGGACUCAUAAUCCGUACUGUCCAGGUUCGAGCCCUGGCGAGCCCA